CCCUUAGACGUUCUGGGCCGCACGCGCGCUACACUGACAAAGGCAACGAGCUACUCUUCACCGAAAGGUGUGGUAAUCUUUUGAAACUUUGUCGUGCUGGGGAUAGAUCCUUGCAAUUUUUGAUCUUAAACGAGGAAUUCCUAGUAAGCGCGAGUCAUCAGCUCGCGUUGAUUACGUCCCUGCCCUUUGUACACACCGCCCGUCGCUACUACCGAUUGAAUGGUUUAGUGAGGACUCCUGAUUGGCGCCGCCGCCCCGGCAACGGAGCAGCGGACUGCCGAAAAGUUGUUCAAACUUGAUCAUUUAGAGGAAGUAAAAGUCGUAACA
This 327-nucleotide ribosomal RNA is filed under the name uncultured eukaryote. RNAcentral's name for it is "partial 18S ribosomal RNA". It matches the Rfam family "Eukaryotic small subunit ribosomal RNA", at positions 1470 to 1796 of the family's 1831-position model. The record is from RNAcentral.